GGAAGGGGUGUAUUUAUUAGAUAAAAAACCAACGCCCUUCGGGGCUCCUUGGUGAAUCAUAAUAACUUAACGAAUCGCAUGGCCUUGCGCCGGCGAUGGUUCAUUCAAAUUUCUGCCCUAUCAACUUUCGAUGGUAGGAUAGUGGCCUACCAUGGUGGCAACGGGUAACGGGGAAUUAGGGUUCGAUUCCGGAGAGGGAGCCUGAGAAACGGCUACCACAUCCAAGGAAGGCAGCAGGCGCGCAAAUUACCCAAUCCCGAUACGGGGAGGUAGUGACAAUAAAUACUGAUACGGGGCUCUUUUGGGUCUCGUAAUUGGAAUGAGAACAAUUUAAAUCCCUUAACGAGGAACAAUUGGAGGGCAAGUCUGGUGCCAGCAGCCGCGGUAAUUCCAGCUCCAAUAGCGUAUAUUAAAGUUGUUGCAGUUAAAAAGCUCGUAGUUCAACCUUGGGCCUGGCUGGCCGGUCCGCCUCACCGCGAGUACUGGUCCGGCUGGGCCUUUCCUUCUGGGGAACCUCAUGGCCUUCACUGGCUGUGGGGGGAACCAGGACUUUUAC
RNAcentral lists this ribosomal RNA (556 nucleotides) under uncultured Ascomycota. RNAcentral describes it as "SSU rRNA". It matches the Rfam family "Eukaryotic small subunit ribosomal RNA", at positions 194 to 755 of the family's 1831-position model. The record is from RNAcentral. Lineage: Eukaryota; Fungi; Ascomycota.